CCUCCCCGAGGUUCUGCUUCACGCUACGAGCUUUUGGCAGCGCUGUCUCUCUAGUCAACCUGGCAACAGCUCCCUCAUGCACUGUAGACUGACAAGAAAAGAGUUCACUUCCAGUAUACCGUUGCAUUAGUCCAAAAAAAUGGUUCUCCUGUGACUUUUCAUAAUGUAAAAUCUGUCUCCUUGUAACGGAGAGAAAGUGAGGCACUCUGGACAAGCCUGUUGAUGAGCGUUCAUUUGUUCAGCAAGGCAUCUUAUAUCAGACGCAACAGGAAAUGUUUGUAAAAAUGGUCAUUUUCACAGGAAUGACCCUUCGGGGAGAAGCUUCGCCGCUGGCCAUUCGUUCCUGCUUAAAGGGACUAAUUCAGUAACUAACUGCAAAGGACAAAACUACACUGUCACGCAGGGAAAAUGCUCUCCUGGGGUAGGAAUGAGGCAGUCUCCCUGUUUGGACUUCCUCCUUCCUUCCUGGACGUCCUGGUCCCAACAAAGACCCCUCACCUGAGCAGGGUGUUGUGGGGAAUGUGGACACACUUGAAGAGGAGUCCAGAUAUAAAAAGCACCAUAAAAGCAUCAUAACCUUGUAUGGCAUCGCCAGCGGCCUGAAUAUUUGUGGCAGAAGCUCGUCGCUGCGACAGGAGGGAAGAACCUAAUCUUCGCUCACAUCCAGAAAGCGUAAUCCGUUCAAAGUGGCACCUCACGCAGGAGAAGAACAAAAAUUACCAUUCAUCUUCCAUCAAGGCGCACAGCUAAAUCUGCGUUUCAUCUCCUCGACUGACUCAGCUGAGGCGAAGGUGCACCGACAGCGAAUGUGACAUCUGAUUUGUAGGCUGUCUAAUCACAGGAGAGGGUGUACAUUUUCUCUUGAAAAAGGGCUCUGUUCGCAGGAGAGCCUGUCCUAAUUGAACGUGCAUGAGGAGAAGCCGUUCAGAGAUCACAGGAGCAACAGUAACUCUCUAACAGCGAGUACGCUGGGGUCGGAGGUGACUAGCCCGUGAUAUGAUGCACCAGAUUCCUCCAUGACAACAGCAGCUCUGUGUGUCGGCUCCUGAGGCGCCCGGCGCAGCGCGAAUGAGUGCGCACGGCCUCCGAACCGCCGUCUGGAACUGAUUAAUGACAGUUUGCCUUCUCUGUUCUCUUUCCUUACAUUCCUUUCUUAAAGGGCGUUCACACUGACAGCAAUUUGAGUCUGCAAGACAUUCAUUUACAAGGAGAGUGGGCAAUUUCUGGAAAUAUGAGUGACAGGGACCGUUAGCCGGACCGCCUACUAGCAGCAAUAGAUUAGCAUACUAACAAACUAAUCAUACUCUGUGCACAGUGUGCAAAUUUUCUAUAGGUAUGUUUGGCAUACUUUAUUAAACUACAUUUGACAUAAUGUGCACAACAAAGAACAUGGUGCAGCAGUGAACUCAACUUGACCUUCCAGUUUAAGCAGUGAUUUUAAACUCUUUUUUGACUCAUUGUUUGAUCAGUAUGCCAAAAAACAUAUCUUUUGAUGCCACAUACAAUAUAAUGUGACAAAAACACUUAAAAAUCAGUGGUUAUUAAAAAAAAAAAAAAAAAAACUGUUAAAAGUCAUUUUCAGUAAUUAAAAUGAAGCUGAAAUAAAAUAAAAUAUAAAUAUUAAAUGGAAAAAACAAAAUUAGCCAAAUUUAGAAAUGUACUAAAAUUGCCCAGACUAAAAUAAAAAUAAAGCUAAAUUUAUAUAUAUAUAUUUAAAAAAAAAAAAAAAAAUGACUUAAGCACAUACAACAACUAAAAUUAAAAUGAAAACUCAAAAUAUGAUUCAAACUCAAAGCUAAUUCAAUAUAUUAAUAAAUACUAUAAUAGUAUAUAAAUAAUACUGAAAUAACACUGUUAAAAACACUUAUUGCUGCAUAAUGUAUAAUUUAUAUAUUUUUUAUACAUUUUGCAAGUCUAUUUCCAGCUUUCUUUAUUUAAAAUAACCGUAAACUAACAUUUCCAGAGAUUUUUGCACAAAAUCAUAAUAAAAAACACAGAACAUUUUGUAAAGGUUUAAAAGUCUGUUUGUCUGUAGUCUGUAAAGUCACUAAUGAUUAUUUUGGUAAUCGGUCGAUUAUUUUGACGAUUAUUUGAGUAAUCAGAUAUUUUUUGUGGUAAACCCCGCCCCAGAGAACACACAACAAAGGGGGCGAGGCCAUGUUGGGCUGCUUUAGAGAAGAGGAAGAGUUGUUGUAGUAGAGUGUUGUUGUGAUGCCGUCAUUUUACACCGGACUGAUUCACAAACGAAUUCAACGCUGUAUUUGCACAAAAGAUUAACAUGACGGCACAUGCUAGUCGAUGAGUUGAAUCAACUCCACAGCAACUACAUAAAUUUAUCCACUAACCAUUCAGAAACGUCUAAAAGUUGUAACUUCUUCCUGAGUCUCUCCAUCAGUGUCGACUCCGGUUUGAACAAUGUAAGGCUGAACACUUUUGUCAUUUUGUCUGUGUGAGAUUCUCCAGCUUUGUUGUUGUUGAGCGACCGAAGCGCGAGCUGUUAAAGCUCCGCCCUCUUCUGGAAAGCGGGCAGCUCAUUUGCAUUUAAAGGGACACACACAAAAACGGCGUGUUUUUGCUCACACCCAAAUAGGGGCAAAUUUGACAAGCUAUAAUAAAUGAUCUGUGGGGUAUUUUGAGCUGAAACUUCACAGACACAUUCUGGAGACACCAGAGACUUAUAUUACAUCUUGUGAAAGGGGACUCUUUAAAUUACUGGGUCAAAAAAAGGUAAAAAACGAAACGCAUGCACAAAUGAAUUGUGCACAGUAAGAUCAAUAACAUAAAUUAAAUGAAAAAGAUUAAAUUUCAUUUCAUGCUGACUUUAAACAUCAGAUAUCUU
Molecule: long non-coding RNA, 2839 nt
Organism: Ctenopharyngodon idella (grass carp)
Lineage: Eukaryota; Metazoa; Chordata; Actinopteri; Cypriniformes; Xenocyprididae
Exons: 4
Source: RefSeq, a predicted model, not a curated record